Molecule: ribosomal RNA, 476 nt
Filed under: uncultured organism
Description: partial 16S ribosomal RNA
Rfam family: Bacterial small subunit ribosomal RNA
Source: RNAcentral
UACACUCCUACGGGAGGCAGCAGUGGGGAAUUUUGGACAAUGGGCGAAAGCCUGAUCCAGCCAUGCCGCGUGCAGGAUGAAGGCCUUCGGGUUGUAAACUGCUUUUGUACGGAACGAAACGGCCUUUUCUAAUAAAGAGGGCUAAUGUCGGUACCGUAAGAAUAAGCACCGGCUAACUACGUGCCAGCAGCCGCGGUAAUACGUAGGGUGCAAGCGUUAAUCGGAAUUACUGGGCGUAAAGCGUGCGCAGGCGGUUAUGUAAGACAGUUGUGAAAUCCCCGGGCUCAACCUGGGAACUGCAUCUGUGACUGCAUAGCUAGAGUACGGUAGAGGGGGAUGGAAUUCCGCGUGUAGCAGUGAAAUGCGUAGAUAUGCGGAGGAACACCGAUGGCGAAGGCAAUCCCCUGGACCUGUACUGACGCUCAUGCACGAAAGCGUGGGGAGCAAACAGGAUUAGAUACCCCGGUAGUCCCAUG